UGAUCUGUUAGAUGAUUGGCCCGUCAGGUGAUUGUUUGGAGUGAUGACUGAUCUGUUAGAUGAUUGGUCCGUCAGGUGACUGAUCUGACUGAUGAUUGAACCGCUGUGCUCCAAAUCCAAGCCAUAAACCAAACCGUCUCCAGGCUGUUCUAAGAAUCACAUAAAGUGACCAAAUCUCUGCUUCUUUUACUUAAAAAUGGAGCAGACUGCAGCUCGCAGGGAGGGUCUAAGCAGGGACCCCAGGGCUGGCCCAGUGACGUAACUCAAAUUGCCGGCGCCCCUCUGCCGGGCGUCUCCGGGGGCCCCCUUUCCACUGCUGUGACCUAUUUUGGAUCUAUUUGGUUGUGCUCGAAACAUGUCAUUGCGCAUGUACGAAAUCAGUGCUCCCCAUGUGCAUAUUAUUAACCGAUUCCGCCCAAAGUAAGGCAGUGAUUGGAUGAGAGCUGCGCAGGUCCGAGAGACCCCCAAAAAAUCACUGGGGAGUAAACGAGGCGUCACUGAAACGCUCGUUAAUGAUCUGGUUAUAAAAUCUGACUGUACUGUAAUUAACAAAAUGCUGAUUUUCAUGUGUUUUAUAAAUAGACAUUUUUAGACAUGAAAGUUACCCCAUAAUUCAUUUUUACUGGAAACGCCGACCUCUGGGAUUUAAAGGAGCCCCGUCUUAAAUCACGCAACAUUUUUCUAGCUCAUAAGGUUUUUAUUGUGAUUCUAAACGCUUCCUUUUUAUAUAAAUCGCGAGCCAAACCCCGCGCCGCCCGGCCAUGCGCCGCCCGGCCAUCUCCGCAAAGACAAUCAGCCUCUGAAAUGUGCCAGUUUUACCCAUAUUUACAAUAAAGCGCGUGUUUGAUGA
Long non-coding RNA from Spea bombifrons (plains spadefoot toad), 850 nucleotides. RefSeq lists it as uncharacterized. NCBI's taxonomy places the organism in Eukaryota, Metazoa, Chordata, Amphibia, Anura, Pelobatidae. The transcript is spliced from 2 exons. The record is from RefSeq and is a predicted model, not a curated record.